GACGAACGCUGGCGGCGUGCUUAACACAUGCAAGUCGAACGGAAAGGCCCUGCUUUUGUGGGGUGCUCGAGUGGCGAACGGGCGAGUAACACGUGAGUAACCUGCCCUUGACUUUGGGAUAACUUCAGGAAACUGGGGCUAAUACCGGAUAGGAGCUCCUGCUGCAUGGUGGGGGUUGGAAAGUUUCGGCGGGUGGGGAUGGACUCGCGGCUUAUCAGCUUGUUGGUGGGGUAGUGGCUUACCAAGGCUUUGACGGGUAGCCGGCCUGAGAGGGUGACCGGCCACAUUGGGACUGAGAUACGGCCCAGACUCCUACGGGAGGCAGCAGUGGGGAAUAUUGCACAAUGGGCGGAAGCCUGAUGCAGCAACGCCGCGUGCGGGAUGACGGCCUUCGGGUUGUAAACCGCUUUCGCCUGUGACGAAGCGUGAGUGACGGUAAUGGGUAAAGAAGCACCGGCUAACUACGUG
This 468-nucleotide ribosomal RNA is filed under the name uncultured bacterium. RNAcentral's name for it is "partial 16S ribosomal RNA". It matches the Rfam family "Bacterial small subunit ribosomal RNA", at positions 28 to 507 of the family's 1533-position model. The record is from RNAcentral.